AGAAAGAUAAGCUAAUUAAGCUAAUGGGUUCAUACCCCAAAUAUAGAGGCUAUAAUCCUCUUCUUUCUA
Molecule: transfer RNA, 69 nt
Filed under: Yunnanites coriacea
Lineage: Eukaryota; Metazoa; Arthropoda; Insecta; Orthoptera; Pyrgomorphidae
Description: tRNA-Met
Rfam family: tRNA
About the family: Transfer RNA (tRNA) molecules are approximately 80 nucleotides in length.
Source: RNAcentral